This 92-nucleotide small nucleolar RNA is filed under the name Vigna radiata var. radiata (mung bean). The record is from RNAcentral. Lineage: Eukaryota; Viridiplantae; Streptophyta; Magnoliopsida; Fabales; Fabaceae.
AAUGGGCAUGUGAUGAAUCUCAUCGUUAAAUGGGUAAUUUGCGUCUGAAUUUUUCAUUGAUGCUAUAUCACCUUGGAGAACUGAUGCUCAAU